RNAcentral lists this ribosomal RNA (1006 nucleotides) under uncultured bacterium. RNAcentral describes it as "bacterial SSU rRNA". It matches the Rfam family "Bacterial small subunit ribosomal RNA", at positions 355 to 1375 of the family's 1533-position model. The record is from RNAcentral.
UGGGGAAUAUUGCACAAUGGGCGCAAGCCUGAUGCAGCGACGCCGCGUGCGGGAUGACGGCCUUCGGGUUGUAAACCGCUUUUGACUGGGAGCAAGCCCUUCGGGGUGAGUGUACCUUUCGAAUAAGCACCGGCUAACUACGUGCCAGCAGCCGCGGUAAUACGUAGGGGGCAAGCGUUAUCCGGAUUUACUGGGUGUAAAGGGAGCGUAGACGGCGCAGCAAGUCUGAUGUGAAAGGCAGGGGCUUAACCCCUGGACUGCAUUGGAAACUGCUGUGCUUGAGUGCCGGAGGGGUAAGCGGAAUUCCUAGUGUAGCGGUGAAAUGCGUAGAUAUUAGGAGGAACACCAGUGGCGAAGGCGGCUUACUGGACGGUAACUGACGGUGAGGCGCGAAAGUGUGGGGAGCAAACAGGAUUAGAUACCCUGGUAGUCCACACUGUAAACGAUGAAUACUAGGUGUGCGGGGACUGACCCCCUGCGUGCCGCAGUAAACACAAUAAGUAUUCCACCUGGGGAGUACGAUCGCAAGGUUGAAACUCAAAGGAAUUGACGGGGGCCCGCACAAGCAGUGGAGUAUGUGGUUUAAUUCGAAGCAACGCGAAGAACCUUACCAGGUCUUGACAUCCGAUGCAUAGCACAGAGAUGUGUGAAAUCCUUCGGGACAUCGAGACAGGUGGUGCAUGGUUGUCGUCAGCUCGUGUCGUGAGAUGUUGGGUUAAGUCCCGCAACGAGCGCAACCCUUAUUGCCAGUUACUACGUUAAGAGGACUCUGGCGAGACUGCCGUUGACAAAACGGAGGAAGGUGGGGAUGACGUCAAAUCAUCAUGCCCUUUAUGACCUGGGCUACACACGUACUACAAUGGCGUUAAACAAAGAGAAGCAAGACCGCGAGGUGGAGCAAAACUCAAAAACAACGUCUCAGUUCAGAUUGCAGGCUGCAACUCGCCUGCAUGAAGUCGGAAUUGCUAGUAAUCGCGGAUCAGCAUGCCGCGGUGAAUACGUUCCC